AGAUCUGCAGCAUCUUCUUGUUACACUCAAACAGAGAAUAGAUUGAAUAAAAACGAAUGUACUGGUCCGUGAAUAGAACAACAUCUUAUGUUUUUAUGUAAUUCAUAUGUAUUGUUCUCGAAAUCAAACAAGAGAGGAUAACGACCUAAAUUGUAACGUUUUGACCUUGAGGUAUUUACAGACAAAACUCAGAACAUUGUACUCCUUAUUAGAGCUAGAUUCAUACAUCCAACCUGAUCCACAUCGAUCCUGCACAUUUUGAGAUUGAAGUGUUAAAAGCCAUCAUCUCGAAUGGGCGUAUUAUAGACAAUUUUUUACCUUGAAAAUUGGAAGGAAUUCUAAUAUAUAAGAUAGAUGAACCAAACAAUUUAUCACCAAUUGGUUUUUACGUUGGAAGUUCAUCUAAAUUAACAUGACUCUAGGCAGAUCAUACAUAGAUCAAGAACAACACUCUUUUGUGCCAGGUUUAAACCUGGUGAGAGAAGAGUUUUAUAUGGUGCAACCUAAUAAUAUGUAGUAAAAAAGAUUCAGCUCUCUUAGCUAGCAUAAUUUUGUGAGAGACGACCUUGACAAUUUUCGCUAAGGCAUCAAGUAACUCCACCCUAAUGAAUCAUCUUCCUCCAGAGAGGGAGAUCCAAAAAUUUCGUAGCAAUCUUCCGCUAAGGAGAGCUAUGAGUUUGAUAUUGAGGACGUGUUUGAAGAAUUAAACAGUGAUGUUGUAACCUGGGAAUAAGGAGGACGGGUUCGAAGGGAAGAUGAAAUAUUUAGAUUGUUGAAAGUUGAUCAUCCUUUGCUUCGAUGUCUCUCUCAUACUCCGAACCUCUCUCAUGGUUUGUAAAUUGUAAUUUUAAGGU
This 854-nucleotide long non-coding RNA is filed under the name Brassica rapa (field mustard). RNAcentral describes it as "long non-coding RNA (BRAP_LNC006439)". Lineage: Eukaryota; Viridiplantae; Streptophyta; Magnoliopsida; Brassicales; Brassicaceae. The record is from RNAcentral.